Bos indicus x Bos taurus (hybrid cattle) is the source of this 295-nucleotide long non-coding RNA. Lineage: Eukaryota; Metazoa; Chordata; Mammalia; Artiodactyla; Bovidae. The record is from Ensembl.
AGCUAUCAUAUCUUCCUAUGAAAGUCACAAGCAAGAGAUGAAUUGACAUCCUGUGUAGGAAAUUGAAUAGAAGAAAGAAAUCAAGUAGAAAUUCAAAUCUCUUCCCUGACUCUCCCAGGAACAUAUGAAAGUGACUUCCAUAAUGGACAAGUCAAGACAAUAAAAAUCUUUGGAAAAUCUGCCUCAAAUCUCAGUGCACCAAACCCCACUAUGUCCUCAGCAAGGAUUCCAGUCACAGGUAUAUGAUUGCUAAAUCACAAGGAGCCACGAAAAGGUAUAGGACCAGCGGUGAAGC